RNAcentral lists this ribosomal RNA (506 nucleotides) under uncultured bacterium. Its description in RNAcentral is "bacterial SSU rRNA". It matches the Rfam family "Bacterial small subunit ribosomal RNA", at positions 28 to 506 of the family's 1533-position model. The record is from RNAcentral.
GAUGAACGCUAGCGACAGGCCUAACACAUGCAAGUCGAGGGGCAUCGGGGUGUAGCAAUACGCUGCCGGCGACCGGCGGAUGGGUGAGUAACGCGUAUGCAACCUGCCUUCAGCAGGGGGAUAGCCCGUUGAAAGACGGAUUAAUACCCCGUAACACAGGGGCUCCGCAUGGAGAUUAUUGUUAAAGGGAUGCUUCCUUCGGGGAGUAUUCCGGCUGAAGAUGGGCAUGCGUUCCAUUAGGUAGUUGGUUGAGGUAACGGCUCACCAAGCCUGCGAUGGAUAGGGGAACUGAGAGGUUGGUCCCCCACACUGGUACUGAGACACGGACCAGACUCCUACGGGAGGCAGCAGUGAGGAAUCUUGGUCAAUGGACGGAAGUCUGAACCAGCCAUGUCGCGUGAAGGAGGACGGCCCUAAGGGUUGUAAACUUCUUUUGCAGGGGAAUAAAGUAUUCCACGAGAUGGGAUAUUGCAAGUACGCUGCGAAUAAGGAUCGGCUAACUCCGU